AAAUUCAAAAGAGCCCUUGAUCCCCUCAUCCUGUAAGCGGCUCGGUCAUAAGCCAGAGCCGCAUCCUCAGCCGUCUCGAAAGUCCCGAGCCAAACCCGAGCCCCAUUCUUAGCCGGGUCACGUAUUUCGGCCGCAAACUUCCCCCAAGGUCUCUGCCUCACCCCCCUGUAAUGCUUCCCCCUAGAAGGCACCACUGCAGGAGCCGGAGCACCUCGCUCCUCCGGUAACGCCGGUGCCGGCGCCGCCUCCGCCACCUGAUGGCGAUCAGAUUCAGCUAACUGCUCCUGUGGAACCCAUCCAACUGUUAGGGCAUCACGCAAGAAAUUAAAGACAAGCAUGUCCUCGGAGUCGUUCUCCCUCAAAGGGAGGUCCCCCCAGUUGUCAGUUAGACAAGGGUACAAUCGGCUAAAGCUUGAGCUCCUGCAAUAAGUAGGGGGAGCCCCGUUGGACUUGGAACUCGCUGAUGACACGCUGCUCAGUCCAGUCUCCGAUUCGUCGAGUAAGUGCUGGCG
Molecule: long non-coding RNA, 512 nt
Filed under: Citrus sinensis (sweet orange)
Lineage: Eukaryota; Viridiplantae; Streptophyta; Magnoliopsida; Sapindales; Rutaceae
Description: long non-coding RNA (CSIN_LNC001944)
Source: RNAcentral